Molecule: ribosomal RNA, 2932 nt
Filed under: Staphylococcus epidermidis
Lineage: Bacteria; Bacillati; Bacillota; Bacilli; Caryophanales; Staphylococcaceae
Description: bacterial LSU rRNA
Rfam family: Bacterial large subunit ribosomal RNA
Source: RNAcentral
AGAUUAAGUUAUUAAGGGCGCACGGUGGAUGCCUUGGCACUAGAAGCCGAUGAAGGACGUUACUAACGACGAUAUGCUUUGGGUAGCUGUAAGUAAGCGUUGAUCCAGAGAUUUCCGAAUGGGGGAACCCAGCAUGAGUUAUGUCAUGUUAUCGACAUGUGAAUUCAUAGCAUGUCAGAAGGCAGACCCGGAGAACUGAAACAUCUUAGUACCCGGAGGAAGAGAAAGAAAAAUCGAUUCCCUGAGUAGCGGCGAGCGAAACGGGAAGAGCCCAAACCAACAAGCUUGCUUGUUGGGGUUGUAGGACACUCUAUACGGAGUUACAAAAGAACAUGUUAGACGAAUCAUCUGGAAAGAUGAAUCAAAGAAGGUAAUAAUCCUGUAGUCGAAAACAUAUUCUCUCUUGAGUGGAUCCUGAGUACGACGGAGCACGUGAAAUUCCGUCGGAAUCUGGGAGGACCAUCUCCUAAGGCUAAAUACUCUCUAGUGACCGAUAGUGAACCAGUACCGUGAGGGAAAGGUGAAAAGUACCCCGGAAGGGGAGUGAAAGAGAACUUGAAACCGUGUGCUUACAAGUAGUCAGAGCCCGUUAAUGGGUGAUGGCGUGCCUUUUGUAGAAUGAACCGGCGAGUUACGAUCUGAUGCAAGGUUAAGCAGCAAAUGUGGAGCCGCAGCGAAAGCGAGUCUGAAUAGGGCGUUGAGUAUUUGGUCGUAGACCCGAAACCAGGUGAUCUACCCUUGGUCAGGUUGAAGUUCAGGUAACACUGAAUGGAGGACCGAACCGACUUACGUUGAAAAGUGAGCGGAUGAACUGAGGGUAGCGGAGAAAUUCCAAUCGAACUUGGAGAUAGCUGGUUCUCUCCGAAAUAGCUUUAGGGCUAGCCUCAAGUGAUGAUUAUUGGAGGUAGAGCACUGUUUGGACGAGGGGCCCCUCUCGGGUUACCGAAUUCAGACAAACUCCGAAUGCCAAUUAAUUUAACUUGGGAGUCAGAACAUGGGUGAUAAGGUCCGUGUUCGAAAGGGAAACAGCCCAGACCACCAGCUAAGGUCCCAAAAUAUAUGUUAAGUGGAAAAGGAUGUGGCGUUGCCCAGACAACUAGGAUGUUGGCUUAGAAGCAGCCAUCAUUUAAAGAGUGCGUAAUAGCUCACUAGUCGAGUGACACUGCGCCGAAAAUGUACCGGGGCUAAACAUAUUACCGAAGCUGUGGAUUGUCCUUUGGACAAUGGUAGGAGAGCGUUCUAAGGGCGUCGAAGCAUGAUCGCAAGGACAUGUGGAGCGCUUAGAAGUGAGAAUGCCGGUGUGAGUAGCGAAAGACGGGUGAGAAUCCCGUCCACCGAUUGACUAAGGUUUCCAGAGGAAGGCUCGUCCGCUCUGGGUUAGUCGGGUCCUAAGCUGAGGCCGACAGGCGUAGGCGAUGGAUAACAGGUUGAUAUUCCUGUACCACCUAGUAUCGUUUUAAUCGAUGGGGGGGACGCAGUAGGAUAGGCGAAGCGUGCUGUUGGAGUGCACGUCCAAGCAGUAAGGCUGAGUGUUAGGCAAAUCCGGCACUCAUAAGGCUGAGCUGUGAUGGGGAGAGGAAAUUGUUUCCUCGAGUCGUUGAUUUCACACUGCCGAGAAAAGCCUCUAGAUAGAUAACAGGUGCCCGUACCGCAAACCGACACAGGUAGUCAAGAUGAGAAUUCUAAGGUGAGCGAGCGAACUCUCGUUAAGGAACUCGGCAAAAUGACCCCGUAACUUCGGGAGAAGGGGUGCUCUUUAGGGUUCACGCCCAGAAGAGCCGCAGUGAAUAGGCCCAAGCGACUGUUUAUCAAAAACACAGGUCUCUGCUAAACCGUAAGGUGAUGUAUAGGGGCUGACGCCUGCCCGGUGCUGGAAGGUUAAGAGGAGUGGUUAGCUUCUGCGAAGCUACGAAUCGAAGCCCCAGUAAACGGCGGCCGUAACUAUAACGGUCCUAAGGUAGCGAAAUUCCUUGUCGGGUAAGUUCCGACCCGCACGAAAGGCGUAACGAUUUGGGCACUGUCUCAACGAGAGACUCGGUGAAAUCAUAGUACCUGUGAAGAUGCAGGUUACCCGCGACAGGACGGAAAGACCCCGUGGAGCUUUACUGUAGCCUGAUAUUGAAAUUCGGCACAGCUUGUACAGGAUAGGUAGGAGCCUUUGAAACGUGAGCGCUAGCUUACGUGGAGGCGUUGGUGGGAUACUACCCUAGCUGUGUUGGCUUUCUAACCCGCACCACUUAUCGUGGUGGGAGACAGUGUCAGGCGGGCAGUUUGACUGGGGCGGUCGCCUCCUAAAAGGUAACGGAGGCGCUCAAAGGUUCCCUCAGAAUGGUUGGAAAUCAUUCAUAGAGUGUAAAGGCAUAAGGGAGCUUGACUGCGAGACCUACAAGUCGAGCAGGGUCGAAAGACGGACUUAGUGAUCCGGUGGUUCCGCAUGGAAGGGCCAUCGCUCAACGGAUAAAAGCUACCCCGGGGAUAACAGGCUUAUCUCCCCCAAGAGUUCACAUCGACGGGGAGGUUUGGCACCUCGAUGUCGGCUCAUCGCAUCCUGGGGCUGUAGUCGGUCCCAAGGGUUGGGCUGUUCGCCCAUUAAAGCGGUACGCGAGCUGGGUUCAGAACGUCGUGAGACAGUUCGGUCCCUAUCCGUCGUGGGCGUAGGAAAUUUGAGAGGAGCUGUCCUUAGUACGAGAGGACCGGGAUGGACAUACCUCUGGUGUACCAGUUGUCGUGCCAACGGCAUAGCUGGGUAGCUAUGUAUGGACGGGAUAAGUGCUGAAAGCAUCUAAGCAUGAAGCCCCCCUCAAGAUGAGAUUUCCCAACUUCGGUUAUAAGAUCCCUCGAAGAUGACGAGGUUAAUAGGUUCGAGGUGGAAGCGUGGUGACACGUGGAGCUGACGAAUACUAAUCGAUCGAAGACUUAAUCAAUUUUUAAA